UACGUAGGGUGCAAGCGUUAAUCGGAAUUACUGGGCGUAAAGCGUGCGCAGGCGGUUCUAUAAGACAGAUGUGAAAUCCCCGGGCUCAACCUGGGAACUGCAUUUGUGACUGUAGAGCUGGAGUGCGGCAGAGGGGGAUGGAAUUCCGCGUGUAGCAGUGAAAUGCGUAGAUAUGCGGAGGAACACCGAUGGCGAAGGCAAUCCCCUGGGCCUGCACUGACGCUCAUGCACGAAAGCGUGGGUAGCGAACAGG
This 253-nucleotide ribosomal RNA is filed under the name uncultured bacterium. RNAcentral's name for it is "partial 16S ribosomal RNA". It matches the Rfam family "Bacterial small subunit ribosomal RNA", at positions 524 to 776 of the family's 1533-position model. The record is from RNAcentral.